RNAcentral lists this non-coding RNA (81 nucleotides) under Yersinia aleksiciae. Its description in RNAcentral is "TPP riboswitch (THI element)". It matches the Rfam family "TPP riboswitch aptamer (THI element)", at positions 8 to 91 of the family's 105-position model. Rfam says of the family: Vitamin B(1) in its active form thiamin pyrophosphate (TPP) is an essential coenzyme that is synthesised by coupling of pyrimidine and thiazole moieties in bacteria. The previously detected thiamin-regulatory element, thi box was extended, resulting in a new, highly conserved RNA secondary structure, the THI element, which is widely distributed in eubacteria and also occurs in some archaea. The record is from RNAcentral. Lineage: Bacteria; Pseudomonadati; Pseudomonadota; Gammaproteobacteria; Enterobacterales; Yersiniaceae.
GACUCGGGGUGCUGCCACAAAAGUGGUUUGGCUGAGAUAUACCCGUAUUACCUGAUCUGGAUUAUACCAGCGUAGGGAAGU